RNAcentral lists this transfer RNA (77 nucleotides) under Clostridia bacterium. RNAcentral's name for it is "tRNA-His". It matches the Rfam family "tRNA". From Rfam's summary of the family: Transfer RNA (tRNA) molecules are approximately 80 nucleotides in length. Their secondary structure includes four short double-helical elements and three loops (D, anti-codon, and T loops). Lineage: Bacteria; Bacillati; Bacillota; Clostridia. The record is from RNAcentral.
GUGGGUAUAGCGCAGCUGGUUAGCGUGUCAGAUUGUGACUCUGAAGGUCGUGGGUUCAAAUCCCACUACUCACCCCA